CUAAAUUUUAGAUUUGCUUGAGGCAGGAGAAGGGCUUUUCGCUUGGCCUCUAAACACUACAUGGCUUUAGCUGCAAGAUGUGUUGCUGGUUUUGAUUUUAAUCAGUUUCUUAUUUGUAAUUUGCAAUUAUUAUUAUUUUUUCUUUUCUUUCAUGUUAUUUCCAGAGGAAGCCCUGGAUGAAGGUUGUUGGUCUGGUGGAGAAAUAGGCACUAACACUUCAGAUGAGAGAUGGACCGAUAUUCUCUGCAUGGCUGAGGCCAGUAACUAUCUGUGAACGGUGACUCACGAUCCGGUCAGACGCACAUCCACACAAGUGAUGCCAGCAGCCUGGUCCCAGCGGGAUGUACACCGAGUGGGAUGAGUCAACCCUGCCGUCUGCAGCGCUGCAUUCAGGCUGCCCAGGAGGAGACACCUGCCGGUACCAAAAGCCUGACAGGGAAGGAGGACCAUCCCCAAAGCCCAAAUACUGAGCUCUCAGUUGGGAUUCGCGCUGGUGAGAAGGACUUUGCUGAAGCACUGCUGGUGGGAGGUCUGGUACAAGCCUGCCCCAAGUACUCCAGAGGGGUAAAGCAAGCUAAAGCCAAUAUUUAUCCUCAUCCCUACUUUCCACCCCAUUUAGCUAGCUGGGACAAACACAAGAUUUCCUCCCAUGGAGUUUCCUGA
Molecule: long non-coding RNA, 663 nt
Filed under: Anas platyrhynchos platyrhynchos (common mallard)
Lineage: Eukaryota; Metazoa; Chordata; Aves; Anseriformes; Anatidae
Description: lncRNA (ENSAPLG00000028998.1)
Source: RNAcentral